This 537-nucleotide ribosomal RNA is filed under the name Eurotiomycetes sp. RNAcentral's name for it is "eukaryotic LSU rRNA". The stretch from base 218 to 371 matches the Rfam family "5.8S ribosomal RNA". The record is from RNAcentral. Lineage: Eukaryota; Fungi; Ascomycota; Eurotiomycetes.
GGAAGGAUCAUUACUGAGUUAGGGUCUCAUCUCGAGCCCGAACCUCCAACCCUUUGUAUAAAACACUUUGUUGCUUUGGCAGGCCCGUCUGAAAAUCCUUUAACCGGGAUCGACGACCGCCGGGGGCGUUUAGUCACCUCUGGCCAGUGCUUGCCGAUAGCCUAUUCAAAAUUCUUUAUUAAAUCAUGUCUGAAAAAUUAUAACUAAAUAUAAUUAAAACUUUUAACAACGGAUCUCUUGGUUCUGGCAUCGAUGAAGAACGCAGCGAAAUGCGAUAAGUAAUGUGAAUUGCAGAAUUCAGUGAAUCAUCGAAUCUUUGAACGCACAUUGCGCCCUUUGGUAUUCCGAAGGGCAUGCCUGUUCGAGCGUCAUUAUCAACCCUCAAGCUCGGCUUGUUAUUGGGCUCUUAUCGUUAAAGAUAGGCCCGAAAGAUAAUGGCGGCGUCAUAAAUGACCCCAGAUGCAGCGAGCUUAUAGCAUACAUCGAAAGGUUUUUAUGGCCCGGCCUUAACGAGAAGCAAUUCUCAAUUUAUUUAAA